CCUGGCUCAGGAUGAACGCUGGCGGUCUGCUUAACACAUGCAAGUCGAACGCAACCUUCGGGUUGAGUGGCGGACGGGUGAGUAACGCGUGAGAAUCUGCCUUGGGGUCGGGGACAACCACUGGAAACGGUGGCUAAUACCGGAUAAGCCUUUGGGUAAAAAAUUUAUUGCCCCAAGAGGAGCUCGCGUCUGAUUAGCUAGUUGGUGAGGUAAGAGCUCACCAAGGCAGCGAUCAGUAGCUGGUCUGAGAGGACGAUCAGCCACACUGGGACUGAGACACGGCCCAGACUCCUACGGGAGGCAGCAGUGGGGAAUUUUCCGCAAUGGGCGAAAGCCUGACGGAGCAAGACCGCGUGAGGGAGGAAGGCUCUUGGGUUGUAAACCUCUUUUCUCAGGGAAGAAGCUCUGACGGUACCUGAGGAAUCAGCCUCGGCUAACUCCGUGCCAGCAGCCGCGGUAAUACGGAGGAGGCAAGCGUUAUCCGGAAUUAUUGGGCGUAAAGCGUCCGCAGGUGGCGAUUCAAGUCUGCUGUCAAAGCACGGGGCUUAACUCCGUUAAGGCAGUGGAAACUGAAUAGCUAGAGUGCCGUAGGGGUAGAGGGAAUUCCCGGUGUAGCGGUGAAAUGCGUAGAGAUCGGGAAGAACAUCGGUGGCGAAAGCGCUCUACUGGACGGCAACUGACACUCAGGGACGAAAGCUAGGGGAGCGAAUGGGAUUAGAUACCCCAGUAGUCCUAGCUGUAAACGAUGGAUACUAGGUGUAGCUUGUAUCGACCCGAGCUGUGCCGAAGCUAACGCGUUAAGUAUCCCGCCUGGGGAGUACGCACGCAAGUGUGAAACUCAAAGGAAUUGACGGGGGCCCGCACAAGCGGUGGAGUAUGUGGUUUACUUCGAUGCAACGC
This 900-nucleotide ribosomal RNA is filed under the name uncultured organism. RNAcentral describes it as "bacterial SSU rRNA". It matches the Rfam family "Bacterial small subunit ribosomal RNA", at positions 18 to 962 of the family's 1533-position model. The record is from RNAcentral.